CAGUAGCGUAUAUUAAAGUUGUUGCAAGUUAAAAAGCUCGUAGUUGGUAUUUCUGACUUCAAACCACCCUCGACCCCUCCCUCGCUAGAGGUGUGUGUGCCGGAGUGUUUGUAUCAUCCUUUCAGUGAUCGGUUCUACCCUUAACCGGGUCGGAACUGUUAACUGGAUCUUUUACUUUGAAGAAAUUGGAGUGUUUAAAGCAGGCUUACGCCAGAACAUAUUAGCAUGGAAUAAUAAUUUAGGACUUUUGUUCUAUUUUGUUGGUUUCUAGGACGAAAGUAAUGAUUGAUAGGGAUAGUUGGGGGUGCUAGUAUUCGGGCGGGCCAGAGGUGAAAUUCUUUGAUCCGCUGAAGACUAACUUAUGCGAAAGCAUUCACCAAGGAUGUCUUCUUUAAUCAAGAACGAAAGUUGGGGGAUCGAAGACGAUU
Molecule: ribosomal RNA, 428 nt
Filed under: uncultured eukaryote
Lineage: Eukaryota
Description: bacterial SSU rRNA
Rfam family: Eukaryotic small subunit ribosomal RNA
Source: RNAcentral